AGUGAACGCUGGCGGUAGGCCUAACACAUGCAAGUCGAACGGCAGCACAGUAAGAGCUUGCUCUUACGGGUGGCGAGUGGCGGACGGGUGAGGAAUACAUCGGAAUCUACUUUUUCGUGGGGGAUAACGUAGGGAAACUUACGCUAAUACCGCAUACGACCUACGGGUGAAAGCAUGGGAUCUUCGGACCUUGCGCGAUUGAAUGAGCCGAUGUCGGAUUAGCUAGUUGGCGGGGUAAAGGCCCAGCAAGGCGACGAUCCGUAGCUGGUGUGAGAGGAUGGUCGGCCACACUGGAAGUGAGACACGGUCCAGACUCCUACGGGAGGCAGCAGUGGGGAAUAUUGGACAAAGGGCGCAAGCCUGAUCCAGCCAUACCGCGUGGGUGAAGAAGGCCUUCGGGUUGUAAAGCCCUUUUGUUGGGAAAGAAAAGCAGCAGGUUAAUACGCCGCUGUUCUGACGGUACCCAAAGAAUAAGCACCGGCUAACUUCGUG
This 492-nucleotide ribosomal RNA is filed under the name uncultured bacterium. Its description in RNAcentral is "partial 16S ribosomal RNA". It matches the Rfam family "Bacterial small subunit ribosomal RNA", at positions 29 to 507 of the family's 1533-position model. The record is from RNAcentral.